UACGUAGGGUGCAAGCGUUAAUCGGAAUUACUGGGCGUAAAGCGUGCGCAGGCGGUUUUGUAAGACAGAGGUGAAAUCCCCGGGCUCAACCUGGGAACUGCCUUUGUGACUGCAAGGCUUGAGUGCGGCAGAGGGGGAUGGAAUUCCGCGUGUAGCAGUGAAAUGCGUAGAUAUGCGGAGGAACACCGAUGGCGAAGGCGGCUUCCUGGGUCGAUACUGACGCUGAUGCGCGAAAGCGUGGGGAGCAAACAGG
RNAcentral lists this ribosomal RNA (253 nucleotides) under uncultured bacterium. RNAcentral describes it as "partial 16S ribosomal RNA". It matches the Rfam family "Bacterial small subunit ribosomal RNA", at positions 524 to 776 of the family's 1533-position model. The record is from RNAcentral.